Molecule: transfer RNA, 25 nt
Filed under: Drosophila iri
Lineage: Eukaryota; Metazoa; Arthropoda; Insecta; Diptera; Drosophilidae
Also listed under: 2 other names
Description: partial tRNA-Gly
Source: RNAcentral
AUUUAUAUAGUAUAAAAGUAUAUAU